UAUAAGUUCUGGAUGACAAAGGAAAGAGAAGAGGGGCAAAUCACCCACUGAAGAGGAAGAAAAUAGCCACACAUUUUGAUGCCUGGAGGAUGAAACCUCCUAUGUUAUUUCCUUCCGUCUUUCUCUCUAUGUCCAUUUUGAUUAAUGGACAUCAUUAGAAAUAGACACAGGCUAUCAGAACUUGAAUGAAUCAGGCAGCUGCAGUUACCCACGAUGCUCUGCAUAGUCGGAGCAGUAUAGAGUGGUGCAGCUUUAAUGACAAAUCGAAAUGACAGAAUAUGUUUGGAAAAAAAAUCCAUGGCAACCAUGGCUGCAAAGGACGGCAAUCGAUAUCGUUUUGGUUAUGCAGCAGCUACAAGUUUGAACUGAAGAGGACAGAGAGCCAAAUAGAAAGGAGGAUGGAUAUGAUGUCCACCUGACUCCUUCUCUCCUGCUUGCUGUGUUGCAGUAAUGGCCCGGCUGUGGACAGCAAACAUAUCCAUCCAUAUG
Molecule: long non-coding RNA, 489 nt
Organism: Cyprinus carpio (common carp)
Lineage: Eukaryota; Metazoa; Chordata; Actinopteri; Cypriniformes; Cyprinidae
Source: Ensembl